This is a long non-coding RNA of Parus major (Great Tit), 2188 nucleotides long. RefSeq lists it as uncharacterized. The transcript is spliced from 3 exons. The record is from RefSeq and is a predicted model, not a curated record. NCBI's taxonomy places the organism in Eukaryota, Metazoa, Chordata, Aves, Passeriformes, Paridae.
UGGAUAUCCAGAACUUCUCUGGGCAACCUGUGCCAGUGUCUCACCAACCUCACAGUAAAGAAUUUCUUCCUAGUGCCUAAUCUAAACUUACCCUCUUUCAGUUGGAAGUCAUUCCCCCUUGUCCUAUCACUACAUGCCCUGUUAAAAAGCGCCUCUUCCUGUUUCUUUUGUGCUCCCCUCGGGUACUGGAAGGCCACAUGACCGUGCUGAGUUUGAGCUUGGAUACAUAAGGAAGAUCUGUCCCCAUCAGCUCAUGGCAUCAAACACCAUCACACAAGUUACUGUUACUUCCUGUUUACAUAUUGCUUUGCUGCAGGUUGGCUGUUACCCACCUUUUGCCACUCUAAAUGCAAGAUGCCUGCCCUGAGCACUGAAGGAGUUAGGCAAGUAUGAACUGUUAUCUUCAUUGUGCAACACAUUUGACAGGUGCCCAAGAGCACAAUUUGGGAGGUGUCAGUGCUCAGCACUAUUUGUGGCUCAGUAUUGAAAAGAUAUAAAUAAACAAAGACUAUGAAGUGGAACUAGCUACAUUUCUUGAUAUAGAAACAUGAGACAGGUACAGGGCCAAGUAGAAGGAGUGGAAGUUUUCCAAAACUGGGAACUGUUUGAGCCCUAUCAAUACAGCCUGAGGUAAGCUCCCACAGCCAACUCAGGAUUAGAUCUGUGCAGAAAUAAAUGCCAGGAAGCCUGGCACUCCUGAACUUGCCUUGCAGAAGGGGGUGGAGUAGGAAAAGCAUUAGGCUAUUUUCUCCUGGAUCAUUGGUUUCUAUGGUUUCAAGGAGACCUUGCUCAUCCAGGUAUAAAAUAUGAGUUAACUCCACAGCUAACUUGCAUUUAAGCAGAUCAGGAACAAUGUAUAAAGUGAAAAUGUGGAAAACUGAUCCAGCCUAUUUAACUUACGCCAUGCCACCUUCAACCUUAAUAGAAGCUUAAUACAAGCAUUUAAAAUUCUCCCUGACUUCACAGAGCUUCAUCUGUGUAUGAAAGAAUAUGAGCCUUCCUUGACAACCAGUGUAAGAUGAGCAAGAUCCCUGGAACUAAAGGCUCGUCUCCAAUUUCCAAAGCACCCAGGAUCCACUUGACACCCACAUGGUGAAGGUUGGAGGGGUGAGUGGUAUGAGGCACAGCCACGCCUGGUGUGGUGGUGUUUCCAUGGUGUGCUGCACAGCCCUUUCUGACAGCCUCCUGUCACUGAGGAAAAUGGAAUAGCUUAGGCUUGUUGUGGCUUGUUACCACCUCACCCUGACAGUAGCACCUAGUUUUGUUUUCUUUCAUCAUCCUUCCACAAAGCAGUCCCUUUCUGGGUGAUAUGGAAAGGAGGGAGGUGUGAGUAGGGGCACACAGAGGCAAGGCAAAACAAAGGGGGCAAAGGGAAGGUUUUUCUGUCUUCUUCACCCUUCUUUUUUUUUCAAUUAGGGGCCAAGACAGCCCUUCAGCAGGGCCUUCUCCUCCACAGAACCCGACAGCCACCUCUGCUCAUCUCCACCCAGCCAUGGGUCUCGGACCCCUCCAACAGGCCCACUGGCAUUCCCUGCCCUCUCCAGCUGUGCAGAGCAAGGGUGCUCACUGAAAGCUCCAGAAGGAAAACAGGGUAAGUGGAGAGAGAAAAAGGAAGGACAAGUGCAAUGAGUGGCAGAAUGCUUUGGGAUGAAGACACACUUCAGAAACCGCAGUUCAGAGCAGUACUAAGCUUAACAAAAAUAGCUCAUCAUUUGUAUCCUAUGAUGAUACUGGAUGUGCAUCUACCAUUGACUGAGUCAGCGAGAUCCCAUUUCUCUGAAAGCUCUUGCUCUCAUUCUUGGCCAUAAAGCCACAUAAAUAACAUAUGGUACAUACAGCAUCAUUGACACCUGCCAAAGCUUUGAAAUACUUACAAGCUAACUACUAAAGCCAAGCCACCUGUCCAGUGACUUCCACUUGAGUUGUUCCAUUUCAUAAUCCCUAUAUUAUUACGUUGAUGGAACGCCAUAAAUCUACAUAGUCAGAGAAGACAUUCCAUCUGCCCUGAAGAAAUUACUCUCUGGAGAAGAUGAGUGAACUCACAGCAAAACCCCUCAAGAGGUAGCUCAUCUGAGCCUCAGAAGUUGCUUGGAGAAGGAGGACUGAGGGAAACACUAGCACUGCAGCUUUUCCUUUGUGGUUUGCUGUAUGAACACGAGAGAAGGAUGGUGACAUAUAUUAGGGAUUC